Molecule: long non-coding RNA, 1563 nt
Organism: Oncorhynchus kisutch (coho salmon)
Lineage: Eukaryota; Metazoa; Chordata; Actinopteri; Salmoniformes; Salmonidae
Source: Ensembl
AUGUUUCUCAGAAGUUCUGUCGUCAGCAUCACUGACGACUGUCCCAUUAAAGACUGGUCAGACCAUAUCUCUCUCUCUCUCUCUCUCUCUCUCUCUUCUCUUUACCCUCUGUCUCUCUGUCUCUCUCUCUCUCUCUCUCUCUUCUCUUUACCCUCUGUCUCUCUGUCUCUCUCUCUCUCUCUUCUCUUUACCCUCUGUCUCUCUGUCUAUCUCUCUCUCUCUAUUCUCUUUACCCUCUGUCUCUCUGUCUAUUUCUCUCUCUCUCUUCUCUUUACCCUCUGUCUAUCUCUCUCUCUCUCUCUCUCUCUCUCUCUUCUCUUUACCCUCUGUCUAUCUCUCUCUCUCUCUCUCUCUUCUCUUUACCCUCUGUCUAUCUCUCUCUCUCUCUCUUCUCUUUACCCUCUGUCUAUCUCUCUCUCGCUCUCUCUUCUCUUUACCCUCUGUCUAUCUCUCUCUCUCUCUUCUCUUUACCCUCUGUCUAUCUCUCUCAUUCUCACUCUCUCUCACUCUAUUCAUUCUGUCUAUUUCUCUCUCUGUCAUUUCUGUUUUUCUCUAUUCCCUUUCUUUCUCUCUCUUUACCAUCUGUCUCCUCUCUCUCACCCUCUCUCUCUCUCCCUCCCUCCCUCCCUCUCUCUUUCUCUCUUCUCAAUCCCCAUUCCCCUCUAUAUCUGUCUUAUCUCACUCUUUCCCCUCUCUCUGUCUCUCUUUUCCCUCUCUCUGUCUCUCUUUCCCCUCUCUCUGUCUCUCUUUUCCCUCUCUCUGUCUCUCUUUACCCUCUCUCUGUCUCUCUUUCCUCUCUCUCUGUCUCUCUUUCCCCUCUCUCUGUCUCUCUUUCCCCUCUCUCUGUCUCUCUUUUCCCUCUCUCUGUCUCUCUUUCCCCUCUCUCUGUCUCUCUUUCCCCUCUCUCUGUCUCUCUUUUCCCUCUCUCUGUCUCUCUUUCCCUCUCUCUGUCUCUCUUUCCCCUCUCUCUGUCUCUCUUUCCCCUCUCUCUGUCUCUCUUUCCCCUCUCUCUGUCUCUCUUUCCCCUCUCUCUGUCUCUCUUUUCCCUCUCUCUGUCUCUCUUUUCCCUCUCUCUGUCUCUCUUUCCCCUCUCUCUGUCUCUCUUUUCCCUCUCUCUGUCUCUCUUUUCCCUCUCUCUGUCUCUCUUUCCCCUCUCUCUGUCUCUCUUUCCCCUCUCUCUGUCUCUCUUUCCCCUCUCUCUGUCUCUCUUUCCCCUCUCUCUGUCUCUCUUUCCCCUCUCUCUGUCUCUCUUUCCCCUCUCUCUGUCUCUCUUUUCCCUCUAUCUUAGUUGUCGCCCUCUUUCUGUUCCCUCCCUUCUAUCUGACUAUGUUUUUGUUUAAUGAGGUUAGACAUCUAGUUGGAUGUCUGCCAUUAUCCAUGAUAUUACGGCAGGUCAGGGAAAUAAUCAAUAGCCGUAACAUCAAUACAACAUUUACAUUAUCUACUACGCACCAAACACUGUUGACAGGGUAUAAUCAUUGCGUCCAUCCACAGAGGCUGGCUGUUGGGUCACAAAGGGUUUCAUGUUCCUGUCUGUCUGAGUACCAAGAUGUAGACCAGUAG